Molecule: ribosomal RNA, 315 nt
Filed under: uncultured Chloroflexota bacterium
Lineage: Bacteria; Bacillati; Chloroflexota
Description: bacterial SSU rRNA
Rfam family: Bacterial small subunit ribosomal RNA
Source: RNAcentral
GAUGAACGCUGGCGGCGUGCCUAACACAUGCAAGUCGAACGGUGGUUUUCGGAUCACAGUGGCGCACGGGUGAGGAACACGUAGCUGACCUGCCUUCGAGCGGGGGAUAACGGUUCGAAAGGACUGCUAAUACCCCAUAAGCUCACGCUCUGUAGAGGGGUGUGAGAAAAGGAGCGAUCCACUUGAAGAGGGGGCUGCGACCCAUCAGGUAGUUGGUGUGGUAAGAGCGCACCAAGCCGACGACGGGUCGGGGGUCUGAGAGGAUGAUCCCCCACACUGGGACUGAGACACGGCCCAGACUCCUACGGGAGGCUG